UCCGGUUUGGCACCGGCAGUCGGACUAGAGUCCCCGACAUUACUCGCUGGCAACUAGUCCCAAGGGUUGCGCUCGUUGCGGGACUUAACCCAACAUCUCACGACACGAGCUGACGACAGCCAUGCAGCACCUGUGCACGAGCUCCGAAGAGCCCCGCGGGUUUCCCCACGAGUUCCCGUGCAUGUCAAGCCCAGGUAAGGUUCUUCGCGUUGCGUCGAAUUAAACCACAUGCUCCACCGCUUGUGCGGGCCCCCGUCAAUUCCUUUGAGUUUCAGCCUUGCGGCCGUACUCCCCAGGCGGGGCACUUAAUGCGUUAGCGCCGGCCCUCAAGGGGUCGCUCCCCCAAGGACCUAGUGCCCAUCGUUUACGGCGUGGACUAC
RNAcentral lists this unclassified non-coding RNA (380 nucleotides) under uncultured Gemmatimonadaceae bacterium. Its description in RNAcentral is "contains 16S-23S intergenic spacer region". The record is from RNAcentral. Lineage: Bacteria; Pseudomonadati; Gemmatimonadota; Gemmatimonadia; Gemmatimonadales; Gemmatimonadaceae.